CGGGAUUAUGACUCUAAAC
This 19-nucleotide non-coding RNA is filed under the name Mus musculus (house mouse). The record is from RNAcentral. Lineage: Eukaryota; Metazoa; Chordata; Mammalia; Rodentia; Muridae.